RNAcentral lists this ribosomal RNA (783 nucleotides) under Sarcocystis sp. CH13-04. Its description in RNAcentral is "SSU rRNA". It matches the Rfam family "Eukaryotic small subunit ribosomal RNA", at positions 164 to 950 of the family's 1831-position model. The record is from RNAcentral. Lineage: Eukaryota; Apicomplexa; Conoidasida; Eucoccidiorida; Sarcocystidae.
GCUAAUACAUGCGCACAUACCUCUUCCCUCGUGGAAGGGUAGUGUUUAUUAGAUACAGAACCAACCCACCUUCGGGUGGUCCYCAGGUGAUUCAUAGUAACCGAACGGAUCGCAUUAUGACCUUUUGGUCGGCGAUGGAUCAUUCAAGUUUCUGACCUAUCAGCUUUCGACGGUACUGUAUUGGACUACCGUGGCAGUGACGGGUAACGGGGAAUUAGGGUUCGAUUCCGGAGAGGGAGCCUGAGAAACGGCUACCACAUCUAAGGAAGGCAGCAGGCGCGCAAAUUACCCAAUCCUGACUCAGGGAGGUAGUGACAAGAAAUAACAACACUGGAAAUUAUAUUUCUAGUGAUUGGAAUGAUGGGAAUCCAAACCCCUUUCAGAGUAACAAUUGGAGGGCAAGUCUGGUGCCAGCAGCCGCGGUAAUUCCAGCUCCAAUAGCGUAUAUUAAAGUUGUUGCAGUUAAAAAGCUCGUAGUUGGAUAUCUGCUGGAAGCAGCCAGUCCGCCCUUUGUGGGUGUGCACUUGGUGAAUUCUGGCAUCCUCCUGAUUGGUGUCAUCAUCACUUUAUUGUGUUGGUGGCAGCUGUCAGGACCGUUACUUUGAGAAAAUUAGAGUGUUUCAAGCAGGCUUGUUGCCUUGAAUACUGCAGCAUGGAAUAACAAGAUAGGAUUUCGGUUCUAUUUUGUUGGUUUCUAGGACUGAAGUAAUGAUUAAUAGGGACAGUUGGGGGCAUUCGUAUUUAACUGUCAGAGGUGAAAUUCUUAGAUUUGUUAAAGACGAA